UACGGAGGGUGCAAGCGUUGUCCGGAUUUAUUGGGCGUAAAGAGCGUGUAGGCGGCCAGGUAGGUCUGCUGUGAAAACUCGAGGCUCAACCUCGAGACGUCGGCGGAAACCAUCUGGCUAGAGUCCGGAAGAGGAGAGUGGAAUUCCUGGUGUAGCGGUGAAAUGCGUAGAUAUCGGGAGGAACACCAGUGGCGAAGGCGACUUCCUGGCCUGUUCUUGACGCUGAGGCGCGAAAGCUGGGGGAGCAAACGGG
RNAcentral lists this ribosomal RNA (253 nucleotides) under uncultured bacterium. RNAcentral's name for it is "partial 16S ribosomal RNA". It matches the Rfam family "Bacterial small subunit ribosomal RNA", at positions 524 to 776 of the family's 1533-position model. The record is from RNAcentral.